Molecule: long non-coding RNA, 335 nt
Filed under: Sorghum bicolor (sorghum)
Lineage: Eukaryota; Viridiplantae; Streptophyta; Magnoliopsida; Poales; Poaceae
Description: long non-coding RNA (SBIC_LNC008399)
Source: RNAcentral
CUGUCUUGAGUAGUUAAAAGAUAGAACAGUCUAGCCAAGUGCCAUGUCUCUUAUUCUUGAUCAGCUAUAGCUCUGGAGUUUUUGCAGAUUUUCAAAUAAAACUUAGAGAUUCCUUGUAUGACUCUCUAAAUCUCUCUUUUGUGGUAUUUCUGGAUCCUUACCAAGGCAGUGAUGGUAUAUGCCUUCUCUCAAGAUAUGUGGUAUUUGUGGUAUAAGGCAUAGUGACAUUGCCUUCUCUCUCACCCUACUCUAAUAAAGCUUUAAUAUCUGCAGCUCAUAGGUGGGAGAUAAAGUAUACAUACUUACAUGACAUUUAUUGUAUAGUCAAACCAUGU